This is a long non-coding RNA of Scylla paramamosain (green mud crab), 328 nucleotides long. RefSeq lists it as uncharacterized. NCBI's taxonomy places the organism in Eukaryota, Metazoa, Arthropoda, Malacostraca, Decapoda, Portunidae. The transcript has 2 exons. The record is from RefSeq and is a predicted model, not a curated record.
GAUGUCUCUCUACCUCGAUCCUCUCACUCCCUCUCUCUCUUUCUCUCUGUCAGCCGGCGUAGGUGGACGUGGCAAGGAAAGGCUCUCGGAUUAGUAGGGAAACUCCAGACAAACGACACUGCCCUGGGUGAACCAUGAACCUCCACUGCAGAGGGCAUAGCAGCAGCAGCAGCAAGUUUGUCACAGAUGGAGCCUGAUAUUCUACGUGCCACCUCCAUCAAUUGUGUGUGUUAGAAUGACUUCCCUUGUGUCAUCUGAUAAUAAACACUAAUAUGAAGUUCACCCUUUAUGUAUCUUCACUGGUAUAAAAUAAACACUCAGGUAAAAA